UGGGACGUAGCUCAACGGCAGAGCAAACGGCUUAUAUCCGUUAGGCUGAGGGUUCAAAUCCCUCCGUCCCGACCA
This 75-nucleotide transfer RNA is filed under the name Methanobrevibacter sp. RNAcentral's name for it is "tRNA-Ile". It matches the Rfam family "tRNA". Rfam says of the family: Transfer RNA (tRNA) molecules are approximately 80 nucleotides in length. Lineage: Archaea; Methanobacteriati; Methanobacteriota; Methanobacteria; Methanobacteriales; Methanobacteriaceae. The record is from RNAcentral.